AUACGUAGGGUGCGAGCGUUGUCCGGAAUUACUGGGCGUAAAGAGCUCGUAGGUGGUUUGUCGCGUCGUCUGUGAAAUUCCGGGGCUUAACUCCGGGCGUGCAGGCGAUACGGGCAUAACUUGAGUACUGUAGGGGAGACUGGAAUUCCUGGUGUAGCGGUGGAAUGCGCAGAUAUCAGGAGGAACACCGGUGGCGAAAGCGGGUCUCUGGGCAGUAACUGACGCUGAGGAGCGAAAGCAUGGGUAGCGAACAGGAUUAGAUACCCUGGUAGUCCAUGCCGUAAACGGUGGGCGCUAGGUGUAGGGGUCUUCCACGACUUCUGUGCCGUAGCUAACGCAUUAAGCGCCCCGCCUGGGGUGUACGGCCGCAAGGCUAAAACUCAAAUGAAUUGACGGGG
Molecule: ribosomal RNA, 398 nt
Filed under: uncultured bacterium
Lineage: Bacteria
Description: partial 16S ribosomal RNA
Rfam family: Bacterial small subunit ribosomal RNA
Source: RNAcentral